Molecule: ribosomal RNA, 1509 nt
Filed under: Lactiplantibacillus plantarum
Lineage: Bacteria; Bacillati; Bacillota; Bacilli; Lactobacillales; Lactobacillaceae
Description: bacterial SSU rRNA
Rfam family: Bacterial small subunit ribosomal RNA
Source: RNAcentral
GACGAACGCUGSCGGCGUGCCUAAUACAUGCAAGUCGAACGAACUCUGGUAUUGAUUGGUGCUUGCAUCAUGAUUUACAUUUGAGUGAGUGGCGAACUGGUGAGUAACACGUGGGAAACCUGCCCAGAAGCGGGGGAUAACACCUGGAAACAGAUGCUAAUACCGCAUAACAACUUGGACCGCAUGGUCCGAGCUUGAAAGAUGGCUUCGGCUAUCACUUUUGGAUGGUCCCGCGGCGUAUUAGCUAGAUGGUGGGGUAACGGCUCACCAUGGCAAUGAUACGUAGCCGACCUGAGAGGGUAAUCGGCCACAUUGGGACUGAGACACGGCCCAAACUCCUACGGGAGGCAGCAGUAGGGAAUCUUCCACAAUGGACGAAAGUCUGAUGGAGCAACGCCGCGUGAGUGAAGAAGGGUUUCGGCUCGUAAAACUCUGUUGUUAAAGAACAGAAUAUCUGAGAGUAACUGUUCAGGUAUUGACGGUAUUUAACCAGAAAGCCACGGCUAACUACGUGCCAGCAGCCGCGGUAAUACGUAGGUGGCAAGCGUUGUCCGGAUUUAUUGGGCGUAAAGCGAGCGCAGGCGGUUUUUUAAGUCUGAUGUGAAAGCCUUCGGCUCAACCGAAGAAGUGCAUCGGAAACUGGGAAACUUGAGUGCAGAAGAGGACAGUGGAACUCCAUGUGUAGCGGUGAAAUGCGUAGAUAUAUGGAAGAACACCAGUGGCGAAGGCGGCUGUCUGGUCUGUAACUGACGCUGAGGCUCGAAAGGGGUAGUAUCAAACAGGAUUAGAUACCCUGGUAGUCCAUACCGUAAACGAUGAAUGCUAAGUGUUGGAGGGUUUCCGCCCUUCAGUGCUGCAGCUAACGCAUUAAGCAUUCCGCCUGGGGAGUACGGCCGCAAGGCUGAAACUCAAAGGAAUUGACGGGGGCCACCGCAAGCGGUGGAGCAUGUGGUUUAAUUCGAAGCUACGCGAAGAACCUUACCAGGUCUUGACAUACUAUGCAAAUCUAAGAGAUUAGACGUUCCCUUCGGGGACAUGGAUACAGGUGGUGCAUGGUUGUCGUCAGCUCGUGUCGUGAGAUGUUGGGUUAAGUCCCGCAACGAGCGCAACCCUUAUUAUCAGUUGCCAGCAUUAAGUUGGGCACUCUGGUGAGACUGCCGGUGACAAACCGGAGGAAGGUGGGGAUGACGUCAAAUCAUCAUGCCCCUUAUGACCUGGGCUACACACGUGCUACAAUGGAUGGUACAACGAGUUGCGAACUCGCGAGAGUAAGCUAAUCUCUUAAAGCCAUUCUCAGUUCGGAUUGUAGGCUGCAACUCGCCUACAUGAAGUCGGAAUCGCUAGUAAUCGCGGAUCAGCAUGCCGCGGUGAAUACGUUCCCGGGCCUUGUACACACCGCCCGUCACACCAUGAGAGUUUGUAACACCCAAAGUCGGUGGGGUAACCUUUUAGGAACCAGCCUAAGGUGGGACAGAUUAGGGUGAAGUCGUAACAAGCCGUAGGGAGAAC